RNAcentral lists this ribosomal RNA (253 nucleotides) under uncultured bacterium. Its description in RNAcentral is "partial 16S ribosomal RNA". It matches the Rfam family "Bacterial small subunit ribosomal RNA", at positions 524 to 776 of the family's 1533-position model. The record is from RNAcentral.
UACGUAGGAGACGAGCGUUGUUCGGAAUUACUGGGCGUAAAGCGCACGUAGGCGGCUUUUUAAGUCAGGGGUGAAAUCCCGGGGCUCAACCCCGGAACUGCCCUUGAAACUGGAGAGCUAGAAUCUUGGAGAGGCGAGUGGAAUUCCGAGUGUAGAGGUGAAAUUCGUAGAUAUUCGGAAGAACACCAGUGGCGAAGGCGACUCGCUGGACAAGUAUUGACGCUGAGGUGCGAAAGCGUGGGGAGCAAACAGG